RNAcentral lists this ribosomal RNA (465 nucleotides) under Vreelandella stevensii. RNAcentral's name for it is "partial 16S ribosomal RNA". It matches the Rfam family "Bacterial small subunit ribosomal RNA", at positions 338 to 795 of the family's 1533-position model. The record is from RNAcentral. Lineage: Bacteria; Pseudomonadati; Pseudomonadota; Gammaproteobacteria; Oceanospirillales; Halomonadaceae.
CCUACGGGCGGUAGCAGUGGGGAAUAUUGGACAAUGGGCGAAAGCCUGAUCCAGCCAUGCCGCGUGUGUGAAGAAGGCCUUCGGGUUGUAAAGCACUUUCAGUGGGGAAGAAAGCCUUGGGGCUAAUACCCUCGAGGAAGGACAUCACCCACAGAAGAAGCACCGGCUAACUCCGUGCCAGCAGCCGCGGUAAUACGGAGGGUGCGAGCGUUAAUCGGAAUUACUGGGCGUAAAGCGCGCGUAGGCGGUCUGAUAAGCCGGUUGUGAAAGCCCCGGGCUCAACCUGGGAACGGCAUCCGGAACUGUCAGGCUAGAGUGCAGGAGAGGAAGGUAGAAUUCCCGGUGUAGCGGUGAAAUGCGUAGAGAUCGGGAGGAAUACCAGUGGCGAAGGCGGCCUUCUGGACUGACACUGACGCUGAGGUGCGAAAGCGUGGGUAGCAAACAGGAUUAGAUACCCGAGUAGUC